This 897-nucleotide ribosomal RNA is filed under the name Salmonella enterica subsp. enterica. Its description in RNAcentral is "partial 23S ribosomal RNA". It matches the Rfam family "Bacterial large subunit ribosomal RNA", at positions 2037 to 2925 of the family's 2925-position model. Lineage: Bacteria; Pseudomonadati; Pseudomonadota; Gammaproteobacteria; Enterobacterales; Enterobacteriaceae. The record is from RNAcentral.
UGAAAUUGAACUCGCUGUGAAGAUGCAGUGUACCCGCGGCAAGACGGAAAGACCCCGUGAACCUUUACUAUAGCUUGACACUGAACAUUGAGCCUUGAUGUGUAGGAUAGGUGGGAGGCUUUGAAGUGUGGACGCCAGUCUGCAUGGAGCCGACCUUGAAAUACCACCCUUUAAUGUUUGAUGUUCUAACGUGGACCCGUAAUCCGGGUUGCGGACAGUGUCUGGUGGGUAGUUUGACUGGGGCGGUCUCCUCCUAAAGAGUAACGGAGGAGCACGAAGGUUGGCUAAUCCUGGUCGGACAUCAGGAGGUUAGUGCAAUGGCAUAAGCCAGCUUGACUGCGAGCGUGACGGCGCGAGCAGGUGCGAAAGCAGGUCAUAGUGAUCCGGUGGUUCUGAAUGGAAGGGCCAUCGCUCAACGGAUAAAAGGUACUCCGGGGAUAACAGGCUGAUACCGCCCAAGAGUUCAUAUCGACGGCGGUGUUUGGCACCUCGAUGUCGGCUCAUCACAUCCUGGGGCUGAAGUAGGUCCCAAGGGUAUGGCUGUUCGCCAUUUAAAGUGGUACGCGAGCUGGGUUUAGAACGUCGUGAGACAGUUCGGUCCCUAUCUGCCGUGGGCGCUGGAGAACUGAGGGGGGCUGCUCCUAGUACGAGAGGACCGGAGUGGACGCAUCACUGGUGUUCGGGUUGUCAUGCCAAUGGCACUGCCCGGUAGCUAAAUGCGGAAGAGAUAAGUGCUGAAAGCAUCUAAGCACGAAACUUGCCCCGAGAUGAGUUCUCCCUGAGACUUAGAGUCUCCUGAAGGAACGUUGAAGACGACGACGUUGAUAGGCCGGGUGUGUAAGCGCAGCGAUGCGUUGAGCUAACCGGUACUAAUGAACCGUGAGGCUUAACCUUACA